UACGUAGGGGGCGAACGUUGUCCGGAUUUACUGGGUGUAAAGGGUGCUCAGGCGGUCUUGUAAGUCAGAGGUGAAAUCUCAAGGCUUAACCUUGAAACUGCCUUUGAUACUGCUGGGCUUGAGUACGGAAGAGGCGGAUGGAAUUUCUGGUGUAGCAGUGAAAUGCGUAGAUAUCAGGAGGAACACCGGUGGAGAAGGCGGUCCGCUGGUCCGUUACUGACGCUAAAGCAAGAAAGCGUGGGGAGCAAACAGG
Molecule: ribosomal RNA, 253 nt
Filed under: uncultured bacterium
Lineage: Bacteria
Description: partial 16S ribosomal RNA
Rfam family: Bacterial small subunit ribosomal RNA
Source: RNAcentral